CCUCGCGGUGCCUCCGCAGGCGCCGGACCCUCCCGCUGGAAGGCCGCGCGGCCCGGUCUGGUCCGCCCGCGGGGCAGGCGCCGGACGCAACUUGGAGAGCACCAGAUGCACACCAGGCUGCCGCUUCUCCGGGAGCUGCACAUUCAUGAAUCUCGAAAGUUCCUGGCUGAGGGGAGAAAAAUCGCAAGGAUCAGUAUGUGGAGUUGGCGUCGGACUUUCUAGGACUUUCUUCUAUUAGCCGCAGCGGACAGUUUCCCGGCUCCAGAUGUUCCACUCCACCUGAACGUCCCCCUUGGUCCCCACCCGCAGAGCCCUCAGCUCCCGCCUAAACCAAGGGAGGCGCGGGACCGGCAGCCUCGAGGGCCCGGUAGGUUUUACUUCAGCCACGAGGAGAGAGACACGUGACAAGCCUCCGCGCCGCUACCCCCCCGCCCCCCCCACUCGCCGUCCCGUUCCCGCCGUUGCUCCCCCCGCCAGUCUCCGCCGCGGUCUCCCCCCGCCACAGACCCACCCCGUUCUUCCCGCCCCCCCCCGCGCCGUCCCCGCCAACCCCAGCCACUCCCCCCGAACCCCGCACCGGCGCCCAGUGCAGAAGCCCACUUACCGCAUGGUGGUGCUGGGAUACUGGGUGUAGUUGAACACGUUCUCCAGAUGGCGCACCUGCAGCUGGGUGAACACGAUGCGGGGGCCCACCGGCUGCCUCCCUUCUGGAGCGGGAGCCAGAGCCGGAGCCUGAGCCGGAGCCGGAGCCGGAGCCGGAGCCGGAGCCGCGGCAGGGGGCUCGUGCUCCUCCUGCUUCGGCUCCACUAGCUCCAACUGCCGUGGGCUGCGGCCGCAGCCCACAUCGCGGGUUUCGCAGCCCGGGGGCCACGGAUAUCCAGCGCCCACGUUGCCGGCCCCUUCUCUGCCAUUGCUGUGGCCAUAACCAGCACCGUCGUCGCCGCUGUCUUCUUCCUCCUUGAUUCGUAUGCCUGCCGCCUGCUGCUCAGGUGCGAACUCGGCCCCGGCUUUCUCCGCCUCUCCGUUUCUGGGACCCUUCAUUUCUGGGACGUGGCGAAGACGCUGGUCCCGACGGGCACAGACCACGCAGCUCUUCCCGGUCCUCGUCGACUCCCAGGCUGGGGAAGCCCGUGACUUCGCGCUUGAAUUGGUUGAAAGGAUCCAUAGUAUCCCUCUGCCGUCCUGUGUGGAUCUGCGUCUGGAUCUGCUGGAUCGCUGGGUCACACGCGAAGCGGUGGCUACGCUGCCGUGCCGUCGAGUUCAGCUACCCAGCGUCCCGCUAGGCGCUUUAUAUAUACCACCCUGUAGUGGGGGUUGGGCUCGCCGAGGUGCGCAUGCGGCUGGGCUUGGGCACCAAGUGGGCGGGUACUCCUGCCAAGAGGGCUGGGGUGGGGAGCACUUGCUCUAAGGCAUCGGAGGGGACUAUGGGUAACCAGAGCUGGCGGCUUCGGUUGUAACUUAGCUCGUGUCCCCCAAACUGGCGGCAUGUCUCCCCCACUCCCGAGCAAGGGGCUGUGCUGCAUUGUGUUUGCCUAUUUGCGUAGGGUGAGAGACAGACCUCACCCUAGGUCUGGAGACCUGGCAGAAAAGUUGGGACAAUCUCUCUUGGGCCAGCCCCACCCCCACCCCCCAACCUCUGGACCUAGCAGCCGGUACAAAGCAGGGAAUAGUCAUCAAACGAAUGUGAUCAGCUCUGAGGUGGCGCACUCUGAGUUUUUUCAGCGAGAUGCUGAAGUUAGAGCCCGCCAAAUUCCCGGGUACCCGGGAACAGGAGCUGGGGCUGGGGCUUGGGGUUGGUGAUCGUGCCUGGUGCUCAGAUGCACUAUGCAAAUAAAACCACACGUGCCCCUUGGGAAAGUCCGGUGCCUCCAGAAUUUUAGUGAUGAAGCUACAUCUCGGUGCAGGGCUACAAACCUGCACAGUGCAUUCAAGGCUGCUUAAAGUGCACAAAGCUCCUGCUUUUUUUUUCUUGCAAUUUUUCUUUUUCAAAUAUUUGUUUCUUUGUCUCAUUGUAACCGCCUAUCCUGAAGCAUUCCUGCACAGCAGCUAUGCCUCUAGCUAUAGAUUUCUCUAUACAAGCAUGCAUAUCCCUGAAGGGUUGGGACCUUUGGGACGCGGGUAAUUUCCCGCCGCCAUUUCUCCCUUCCCUCAGCCUCUCGGUUUUUCUAGAAAGAUCUUCCUGAGCCCUCGCUGAGGGAAUAAAUGAAGUUUACUUCU
Felis catus (domestic cat) is the source of this 2217-nucleotide long non-coding RNA. RefSeq lists it as uncharacterized. NCBI's taxonomy places the organism in Eukaryota, Metazoa, Chordata, Mammalia, Carnivora, Felidae. The transcript has 4 exons. The record is from RefSeq and is a predicted model, not a curated record.